Long non-coding RNA from Canis lupus familiaris (dog), 1717 nucleotides. RefSeq lists it as uncharacterized. Lineage: Eukaryota; Metazoa; Chordata; Mammalia; Carnivora; Canidae. The transcript is spliced from 3 exons. The record is from RefSeq and is a predicted model, not a curated record.
CAACAGACAAAAUCCCAAUGCAGGGGAGAAGACUCUGGCAGCAGGGUGUCAGUCCACAAGGAGCUGAGUAGAAAGGUCUGGAACAGGAACAGCUUCAUAUAUAAGAAAAAUACCAGCUAGUUUUCCCUGGGUCCUCCCAGAUCAAAGCUCUUAGCGAAAGCCCAGAGGAGAGAUGGGGCUGAUUCUCUAUGGUCUGCGUCUAGAGGGAGGCUCAUGGCCUCCCACCCAUGCAUCUGAACGUGUUCCUCUUUGCUCCUCUCCUGCCUGGCAUGAAAGAUAAAAAGAUGGCACACUGCUGGCACUGUUACCUGUAAGUAGGAAUUUCUGUGAGGGCCAUGGUUUGUUCCAUCAAGUUUAAAACAUCAAAAAAUAAAUAUGCUGCAAGCUUGGUAGCCUGUUGGAGAUUAGAGAUAUUACUGUUUCAAGCCCCGUUCCCCCCACCCAGCACUCAGGUGGCAUCUCCCAGAACAAACAGAAGCCCUGAGAGAAUGAGCAAACCAAAGGGAAGGAGCUCUUGCUACCAGCCUUCAGAACUGCCUCUAGAUAUUGAGACCACCUUUCCUGCUGGUGGGAAGAAGCAAUUUCCACCCCCCACUAGGAUACUCUGAGUAUGUUUUGUUUAUCACUCAGUCUCUUGGCUCUUUGGUUCUCCUCCAUGACUCUACUUGCUCUUCACGUCUUGGUAUAGUGGAAAGAAAAUGCCCUUUGGAAUCAGGGAGGCUUGGAUUUAAAGCUCAGCUCUUCUUCAACUGAACAGCUGAGUGAUUUUAGACAAGUUACUUAAUAUUCUCUGAAUCUCAGGACUGAGGACAGUCUGGACGGGCCCAUUUCUUCUCCAACUUCCUGUCCUUGUUUACUUAAAAGAAGGUAUCAGAAAAUUUCAGAUCCUUGCUUUAUGCUUUGGGAUCCUAGUGUUUGCAAUUUGAAUGCUUUUAACAUUCAGUUUUGGAUUCCACAUCUCAAAUUCACCAAGUUUUUAUAUUUAGACAUUAGGGUUUAAGUCUUGCCGACUGGUUCUCAAUACAGAGGGAUCUGUUGGGAGUUCUAUAACAGGAACACAUACCAAUUUCCAACUUGGCUAACCCACUGACUGAUGAAAGGGGAAGAGACGGAGCUUUUGCUUCAGCAAAGACUUCUGUUUAGUAACCAAUCUCCCAGUUUGAAGGUGAGGCCAAGGAUGUUAAACGUUAUUUGUUUAGUCAUCUGUGAAUCAGCGCUCUCUGCUCUCCACUCUCAGCCCAAACUGCAAAGGAAAUUUUAUUUGAAAUCUGCAAGAGUCCCAGCCUUGGGCAGCACAUAAACAGAGAAGAGAGAAAUGGCCUAUAAGCACAAGUGUAGAGCUUCUUAUCCCAGUCAAUACAUAUGAAAACUCAGCACAACAGACAAGAUGCGGCUAAGAAUUCAUCCAGCAAUUCAUCCUCAUGUUUAAACUAAACCAUCUACUUACCCAUUUUGUCAGAUCAGUCUCAAAGUUGGUAAGGCUUGGGGAGCUAAAUAAUAUUAUAGUAAUUCUGGAGUUGUAAUCUUUUACAAAUCCUUCAGUGCCCAACAGGCCUGAGUUAAAAUGUGUAAGUAGAGGUUUGGGGAUUUGGGGGAAAAUGGGGCUAAUGGAUUUAGGAUUUCUUUUCAGGAUGAUGAAAAUAUUUGAAAAUUGAUUGUGGUGAUGGCUGGUUGAGCAGUGGUGAAUAUACUAAAAAGCAAUGAAUUGUAAACUUUA